This 468-nucleotide ribosomal RNA is filed under the name uncultured bacterium. RNAcentral describes it as "partial 16S ribosomal RNA". It matches the Rfam family "Bacterial small subunit ribosomal RNA", at positions 28 to 507 of the family's 1533-position model. The record is from RNAcentral.
GACGAACGCUGGCGGCGUGCUUAACACAUGCAAGUCGAACGGAAAGGCCCUGCUUUUGUGGGGUGCUCGAGUGGCGAACGGGUGAGUAACACGUGAGUAACCUGCCCUUGACUUUGGGAUAACUUCAGGAAACUGGGGCUAAUACCGGAUAGGAGCUCCUGCUGCAUGGGGGGGGUUGGAAAGUUUCGGCGGUUGGGGAUGGACUCGCGGCUUAUCAGCUUGUUGGUGGGGUAGUGGCUUACCAAGGCUUUGACGGGUAGCCGGCCUGAGAGGGUGACCGGCCACAUUGGGACUGAGCUACGGCCCCGACUCCUACGGGAGGCAGCAGUGGGGAAUAUUGCACAAUGGGCGGAAGCCUGAUGCAGCAACGCCGCGUGCGGGAUGACGGCCUUCGGGUUGUAAACCGCUUUCGCCUGUGACGAAGCGUGAGUGACGGUAAUGGGUAAAGAAGCACCGGCUAACUACGUG